GCCUCUGCCGAACAAGCCAAAUAAAUCUCCUGUGCACCUGUUGAAUAAAGAAAUCGGUGCAAAUGGGAUAGAAAAAAUCCGGUGGAAUUGCGGGUGCACCUUUUCACAUGGUUGAGAGAUUAUUCAACAAUCUCCCCCUUUCUCACCCAUGUUAAUAUGACUCCAUUACUUGGAGCGUAUACCUGCAACGUUUCUACAGAACU
RNAcentral lists this long non-coding RNA (203 nucleotides) under Nicotiana benthamiana. Its description in RNAcentral is "long non-coding RNA (NBEN_LNC000111)". The record is from RNAcentral. Lineage: Eukaryota; Viridiplantae; Streptophyta; Magnoliopsida; Solanales; Solanaceae.